Molecule: long non-coding RNA, 717 nt
Organism: Felis catus (domestic cat)
Lineage: Eukaryota; Metazoa; Chordata; Mammalia; Carnivora; Felidae
Exons: 2
Source: RefSeq, a predicted model, not a curated record
AUGUGUUCUCCGGUUUCUGGUGGCUGCUGUGUCCCCUGGCCUGUGCCCCUCCCCCACCCUCAAAGCCAGUAAGUAGGGUGGCUUCCUGUAUCUCCGAUUCUGACCCCAUUUCUAUCAUUCAUUCACCUACUUCCCCGACUCUGACCCUCCCUCUUAUGAGGCCCACCAGAUAACCCAGGCUGAUUUUCCCAUCUCAGGAACUUGAACUUAGUCACAUCUGCAGGUCCCUGUUGCCAUGGAAGGCAUGGUAUUCACAGGCUCUGGGGAUUAGGAUGGGGUGUCACUGGGGGACCAUUAUUCUGUCUACCAUGCGCCUCAACAAUAGCCAGUGCAGGACGUGGGCAGCAGGUAGGGCUCAUGCAGGUGAUCUAGAACCCCCACCACUAAAGAAGCCCUCAUCCUAGGGGACCACGUGGGGCAUAAAGGAACUGAAAGGGCCCUCAUUUGUCUUCAAAACCUAGGAGGGAAGAGGGGAAGAGAAUGGUGGCGUCCAGAACCCAGGACCUGCAGGCCUGAUGCCCCUCCCCACUCCCGUCUUAUAGUCACCCUGCCCAGGGCCACCUCUCUGCCUUGUCCCCAUCAGCUUUAGGGCCUUCCCGACAGAUGGAAAUGGCGCCUUCCUCCCCGUCUCUUCUACUGGAGUGUGCUCCCCUAGUGCCCAGCACGAUGUGGGCACAGAACGGGUACCCAGUAAACACCGGGAACCAUGUAAACAUA